UGGCACCACAUAAAAAUAAAUAAAGGUAUUGUGUCCAUCUACAACUAAAAAAAAGAAGAAAUUUCCUAAAUAAGCUAACUUGUACUUGAAAUAAAGGAAGAAGAUCAAGCUAAACCCAGCCAUUAGCAUAAAGAAGGAAACAAAGAUUUGAAGUUAAUGAUAUAGAAAUUAGAAAAUUAAUGAAGAACCAACAAAACCAAAAAUUACUAAAUUUGAGAAAACUUUUUCUAAACUACUAACCAAGAAACAAAGGGGAAUGAAUAUCCAUAACUCAAUCAGAAAUAAAGUGUUGACAUGACAGUAGGUCUUACAAAGUUAAAUGAUUAUAGAACAAUACAAAUUCCAACAAAUUGGAUAAUUUUGAUGAACAAAUUUUAAGAAAUACAAAAAUUUUAAAACUUUCCCCCAAACAAAUAGAACAUUGAACAGCUUGUUUAAAAAAAAAAAGGUAACCAGUUCAAAUCAGUAGCAAAACAACAAACAGCAAGACUCCCAAACUAAGAAAGGC
RNAcentral lists this long non-coding RNA (508 nucleotides) under Marmota monax (woodchuck). Lineage: Eukaryota; Metazoa; Chordata; Mammalia; Rodentia; Sciuridae. The record is from RNAcentral.